GGAUGAAGAACGCAGCGAAAUGCGAUACGUAAUGUGAAUUGCAGAAUUCAGUGAGUCAUCGAGUCUUUGAACGCACAUUGCGCCCCCUGGUAUUCCGGGGGGCAUGCCUGUCCGAGCGUCAUUGCUGCCCUCAAGCACGGCUUGUGUGUUGGGCCUCCGUCCUCCUCCCGGGGGACGGGCCCGAAAGGCAGCGGCGGCACCGCGUCCGGUCCUCGAGCGUAUGGGGCUUCGUCACCCGCUCUUGUAGGCCCGGCCGGCGCUUGCCGACACAUCAAUCUUUUUUCCAGGUUGACCUCGGAUCAGGUAGGGAUACCCGCUGAACUUAAGCAUAUCAAUAAGCGGAGGA
RNAcentral lists this unclassified non-coding RNA (346 nucleotides) under soil metagenome. RNAcentral describes it as "partial contains 5.8S ribosomal RNA, internal transcribed spacer 2, and large subunit ribosomal RNA". The stretch from base 2 to 121 matches the Rfam family "5.8S ribosomal RNA", at positions 35 to 154 of the family's 154-position model. The record is from RNAcentral.